GUGUCGUAAAACCUUUGUCACAGUUUCUCCAUGGCUAUUUUAUUGUUUUUAUUGGAUGUUUUGAUUUUGUAUUUUUUUGGAUUCGAUUUUCUUAGUGUGUAGUGUCGGUUUAGUGUUUAUUUUGAUUACUUUUUAUUUAAAAACUAUAAAACAUGGUUCGUCAGUGCCAAAUUUGUAAGAAAUUGGACUAUUUAAGUCCUGGAACAACAUUCCACAGAUUAUGCUGCCAAAGUUUCCUGAAUACAAUUCCGACCACUCUGUAUAUCAAGAUAUCCCCCAUUACGUACUAGUUUUUCUUAAUAAUUUUCUAUACAUUUUCCAACGCCAAGAUGUACCAAGCGCAUACAAAUACAUCAAGCUUCAAACAAGCUUGCACGUUGACAGUAAUACCUACAGUAAUAUUGUAUUAUAUUAAUGUAAUAUUUUUGAACCAAUGUUCAAUAUUACUGUAGUAAUACUGUUUAUACUCAUGCCUUUUAUAUUUGUUUGAAUUUGGUGCAUAUUUCCAUUGAAUAAAGUAUAGUCACCAUUACCAUUAUUAUACUUACUCUAUAAUAAAGACAGUAACGAGUUAAA
This is a long non-coding RNA of Sitophilus oryzae (rice weevil), 576 nucleotides long. RefSeq lists it as uncharacterized. Lineage: Eukaryota; Metazoa; Arthropoda; Insecta; Coleoptera; Curculionidae. The record is from RefSeq and is a predicted model, not a curated record. The transcript has 2 exons.